This 253-nucleotide ribosomal RNA is filed under the name uncultured bacterium. RNAcentral describes it as "partial 16S ribosomal RNA". It matches the Rfam family "Bacterial small subunit ribosomal RNA", at positions 524 to 776 of the family's 1533-position model. The record is from RNAcentral.
UACGUAGGCAGCAAGCUUUGUUCGGAUUUACUGGGCGUAAAGGGUGCGUAGGCGGCUUUUUAAGUUUGGUGUGAAAACUCGAGGCUCAACCUCGAGACGCCGAUGGAAACCAUCUGGCUAGAGUCCGGAAGAGGAGAGUGGAAUUCCUGGUGUAGCGGUGAAAUGCGCAGAUAUCAGGAAGAACACCCGUGGCUAAGGCGGCUCUCUAGUACGGUACUGACGCUGAGACGCGAAAGCGUGGGGAGCGAACAGG